Microtus oregoni (creeping vole) is the source of this 270-nucleotide long non-coding RNA. RefSeq lists it as uncharacterized. The transcript is spliced from 3 exons. NCBI's taxonomy places the organism in Eukaryota, Metazoa, Chordata, Mammalia, Rodentia, Cricetidae. The record is from RefSeq and is a predicted model, not a curated record.
AUCAUCGUGGCCUCUUCUGUGUCAUGUGAUUUGUUCUGACAAUUCCAAGGCGCAAUUUAUACAGGUCUUCAAAGGUUCCUGAUGUAGAUGUAGCUUGUAGCUACUGCUCCAGCACCUGCCUGCAUGCCACCAGCUCCCCACCGGGAUGGUAAUGGACUAGACGUCUGAAACUUUCACAGGACUUCGAGCAACUUGGAAUUAUCUUGUGCCAGGGACGUGAUUGGGAUUCUCAGUGCAACCACGCUGAAUGACAACUAUAAAUGGGUAAAC